UACGAAGGGGGCUAGCGUUGUUCGGAAUUACUGGGCGUAAAGGGCGCGUAGGCGGUUUUGUCAGUCAGGCGUGAAAGGCCCGGGCUCAACCUGGGGACUGCGCUUGAUACUGCGAGGCUUGAAUCCGGGAGAGGAUGGCGGAAUUCCCAGUGUAGAGGUGAAAUUCGUAGAUAUUGGGAAGAACACCGGUGGCGAAGGCGGCCAUCUGGACCGGGAUUGACGCUGAGGCGCGAAAGCGUGGGGAGCAAAC
RNAcentral lists this ribosomal RNA (250 nucleotides) under uncultured bacterium. RNAcentral's name for it is "partial 16S ribosomal RNA". It matches the Rfam family "Bacterial small subunit ribosomal RNA", at positions 524 to 773 of the family's 1533-position model. The record is from RNAcentral.